Salvelinus namaycush (lake trout) is the source of this 876-nucleotide long non-coding RNA. RefSeq lists it as uncharacterized. The record is from RefSeq and is a predicted model, not a curated record. NCBI's taxonomy places the organism in Eukaryota, Metazoa, Chordata, Actinopteri, Salmoniformes, Salmonidae. The transcript has 6 exons.
UAUUUCAUGCCUUCUCCACACUCGUCCUCACAAGAACAUACUCAAGAGAACGUCCUCGGGGGAAUGCACUUGAAGCACGAAAUGGGAGACGGACAAGGAGACUGAUAUUGUGAUUAUCAAAGGAGCCGGUGGGAAAGCCUUCUGUGCUGGUGGAGACAUCAGAGCUGUGACUGAAGCGGGGAAGGUAGGAGACUUCUGAAGAAUACAUCCUGAACAAUACUAUUGGAACAUAUCAGAAACCAUAUGUGGCCCUUAUUGAUGGGAUAACAAUGGGAGGGGAUGUGGGCCACUGAGAAGACUGUUCGCCAUGCCGGAGACGGCAAUCGACCCUAGCCAAGAUGUCUCCCACAUCGCUGAAGAUAACCUUCAAGCAGCUUCAGGAGGGAAGCGCCAAGAGUUUGUAGGAGGUUCUGGUGAUGGAGUGCAGACUCAAUCAAGCCUGCAUGGUGGUACGUGCCAAAAGUCCCCAGGCCCUUAAUACUACCUCCUCUUUUCAUAGGUGUCCAAGUUGCCUAAAUUAGUUUCCGUCCCUCGUAUCCUUUCUUUCAUGUCAACUCAAUAUAAUCCAUGUUCUCCUUGAGUUUUAUGGUUGAAAUAAGCCACCAUAUUCACCUAUUAGUGGUCAUACAGUUGGAAAGGAGACAGGGAAAGGACCAUCAGACAUGGCAUGCCAGUCACUCAGUGGCCUCUCACAACAGCAGGACUUUGGUAAGACCACACCCCAGUGCCGUGCCCAUUUCUGUGGGGGCAGAGAGACUAUGACCUCACCAGCGCAUUAUUGUCGUUCUUGCUGCUGGUGAGUCUCUGAUCCACCUCUACGCAGACGACACCAUUCUGUAUACUUCUGGCCCUUCUUUGGACACUGUGUUAACAACC